This 446-nucleotide ribosomal RNA is filed under the name uncultured bacterium. Its description in RNAcentral is "partial 16S ribosomal RNA". It matches the Rfam family "Bacterial small subunit ribosomal RNA", at positions 338 to 795 of the family's 1533-position model. The record is from RNAcentral.
CCUACGGGUGGCAGCAGUCGAGAAUCAUUCACAAUGGGGGAAACCCUGAUGGUGCGACGCCGCGUGGGGGAAUGAAGGUCUUCGGAUUGUAAGCCCCUGGCAUGUGGGAGCAAAUUAAAAAGAUAGUAACACAAGAGGCAGCGACGGCUAACUCUGUGCCAGCAGCUGAGCUAAUACGGAGGUCUCAAGCGUUGUUCGGAGUCACUGGGCGUAAAGUGUGCGUAGGUGGUUUAGUAAGUCGUAUGUGAAAGGGGCGGGCUCAACACGCGUGCGGCACAUGAUACUGGGAGACUAGAGUGAAGGAGGGGAGAAUGGAAUUCUCGGGGUAGCAGUGAAAUGCGUAGAUAUCGGGAGGAACACUCGGGGCGAAGGCGAGUUCCUGGACAUUAACUGACGCUGAGGCACGAAGGCCAGGGGAGCGAAAGGGAUUAGAUACCCUUGUAGUC